UAGCGUAUAUUAAAGUUGUUGCAGUUAAAAAGCUCGUAGUUGGAUUUCAGUCUUAAUUCGUCUGGCCCGCUCCCUUGAGGAGCCGAGUGCCGGUUGCGAAUUGGACUUCCUUCUAGCAUGAAUCUCCUACCGUUAUGCGGCCGGGAAGGACAUCUGGAUCAUUUACUUUGAAGAAAUUAGAGUGUUCAAAGCAAGCUUACGCUGUGAAUAUAUUAGCAUGGAAUAAUAACAUAGGACUCGGGUUCUAUUUUGUUGGUUUCUAGGACUCAAGUAAUGAUUGAUAGGGACAGUUGGGGGUGCUGCUAUUAUAUGGCCAGAGGUGAAAUUCACGGAUUCAUAUAAGAGCAACUUAUGCGAAAGCAUUCACCAAGGAUGUCUUCUUUAAUCAAGAACGAAAGUUGGGGGAUCGAGGACGAUCAGAUACCGUCGUAGUCUCAACCAUAAACUAUGCCGACUAGGGAUUGGUGGACGUUGAAUUUCCGACUCCAUCAGCACCUCAUGAGAAAUCAAAGUCUUUGGGUUCCGGGGGGAGUAUGGUCGCAAGGCUGAAACUUAAAGGAAUUGACGGAAGGACACCACCAGAAGUGGAACUUGCGGCUUAAUUUGACUCAACACGGGAAAACUUACCAGGUCCAGACAUAGUAAGGAUUGACAGAUUGAAGAUCUUUCUUGAUUCUAUGGGUGGUG
RNAcentral lists this ribosomal RNA (687 nucleotides) under uncultured marine eukaryote. RNAcentral describes it as "SSU rRNA". It matches the Rfam family "Eukaryotic small subunit ribosomal RNA", at positions 595 to 1279 of the family's 1831-position model. The record is from RNAcentral.